Molecule: long non-coding RNA, 253 nt
Organism: Cyprinus carpio (common carp)
Lineage: Eukaryota; Metazoa; Chordata; Actinopteri; Cypriniformes; Cyprinidae
Exons: 2
Source: RefSeq, a predicted model, not a curated record
UUCAAUAGUUUUAUGGGCUGCUGACCUCUUUCCAGAUGUAGUAGUGGCUCAGGAAGCAGCCCACCUCUCCCUUGGUCAGCGUGCGGCCGGAGAAAGGGUCAUAGUAACCAGCAUCCACAACUUUAGCAUCAAUCUCUAGCUCAUACAGCGACCAUAACAUCCUGUCCCUGCGGUCUGGACGUCUGCGCAGGUUUAUCAAGUAGAUCUGAGGAGAACAAACACACAUGCUGAAUGUUGUAGCUCAAAGCAAUGG